RNAcentral lists this long non-coding RNA (8538 nucleotides) under Brassica napus (rape). Its description in RNAcentral is "long non-coding RNA (BNAP_LNC022307)". Lineage: Eukaryota; Viridiplantae; Streptophyta; Magnoliopsida; Brassicales; Brassicaceae. The record is from RNAcentral.
ACUUUCCGUGAGCCUUAUCAUUGUUCUGUUUAUAGGCGUCAAACCUAGAAGAGACCUUAUAAUCAGGUCCUUUGCUCAGGGUACACCAGAUAAGCGUACCCCCGAAAACGUUGUCGUGGACACUGAAUGUGUAAUCGAUUCCACCCGGUUUCAGAUAGUGGACACCCAUAUCGUCGUUCCCUGAUUUACAAUGUACUUUGAGCCAUUUCUUGUAACUAAGGCCGUUCCUGAAAUAGAGUGUUGUCUUCUCCCCUUUCAAUAAAUUGCCACCAUAUACAUUGUCGAUCAUGCAAAGUGUAAAAACAAAUAGAAAGAUUGAAAUAUUUUUCAUUUUUUUGUUUCUUUCUUUCUUUCUAGAUGUUUUAGAUAUAUAUAUAUUUUUCGUAUUGUUAAAACUUGUGUAUUGUGUUUGUGUUUUAUGGUGUUAUAUAUACACGUAGGUAUUGCUAUUUUUGAGGUUUUUUAACAUUAUCUUCUUGCUCUAUAAUUGGAAUUUUCUAUUAAAAAUUUAGGUGUAUCAAGUCGUUUCAAAUCAAUAGAUUAAUGUCGAUGGCCGGCUAUCCAUCCUCUCUAUUUAGCUAUGUUCCUCUCUUAUUAGUCAAGUUUGUUUUACAGCCUCUCUCUCUUAUUAGUCAAGUUGCAAAUAUGGUAGAAACCAUAAAACUAGAUUGAAUUUACGUUCUAAGGCAGAAAUAAUAUUGAAAACAGAUAUAAAACACGCACGCAUUAACCUAUUUAAUUAUUAGCGUACAAUUUACACCGAAAAAAUAAUAAUAAUAAUGCAGAUCCGGUUUAUCUCGGUUCGGUUUGUAUUAAACCUGGUCUCGAUCUACAGUUGUGAUUCGACCCUAAUGGUUAGACAAUAAGCUUAACCAUAUAAAUACAAAGAUAGAAAAAAAGAAAGAAAGAAGGAAACAGCUGAUCAAAAAUCAUCGACUCCCUGUUUCAGCUCCGGUAAGUUUCUCAUCUUCCUUUCUUCUCCUGUUCUUCAGACUGAGUUCAUUAAUCUAAGAGCUUGGUCUUUGAUUUAAACCGGUCCAUAGAUUCAAUUUUGUCUAACCAACGAUUUAAACCGGUUUAUUCCUCUGUGUAUAAAAAAAGAAGAAACAAAUAUUCUUGAUCGUUUCUUAUGCCCUAAGACUUUAGUGAGCUCUCUUACUUGUUGAUUACGUUUGGAGAAGCGAUUGUUUCGAAAUUGAUUGAUAUUUGGUGUGAUCAUCAGAUUUUUGAAGAGGGAGGAUGGAGAUGCAUAACAUUGUGGACUCAUUGAACAAAGCUUACGAGAAGUUUGUCAUUGCCUCAGCUAAUGUUCUUGAGUCCAAAGAGAGUGCUGGCGGGGAAAAAAAGCUACUCUCACUGAUGCUGCAUUAGAAGAUUUCAAGGAGGAGUGGGAGCUCUUCCGCGUGGCUUGUGAUCAAGCUGAGGAGUUUGUGAAGCAGAGGAUUGGGUCUGAGUGUUUAGUUGAUGAGGCUACUGGUUUAACAACGAGAAACUCAGGAGGCCAAAGUGUUGGUGCUGCGACUAGUCUCUCUCCCAUUAGUGCAGUAAGGCUGGAACAGAUGAGUAGAGCGGUUAGAUGGCUUGUGUUUGAGCUGCAACGUGGGUCUGGUGUAGCUGCUGGUUCUUUGCAUUCUUCCUCUAACGGGUUUGAUCCUAGAUUACCCUGAAGACUCAGACUCAAUAGAAUGCUUCCCUAAUUAACAAAUACACAUAUCACUUUGUGAGCUAAAACUGCAGCUGUUUAACUCUUGAGUCUGUUAUGAGGGAGGCUUUGUACUUGGUUGAAGAGUUCGCCUAAUCAGUUUUAUACACUGACAAAGCAAGAAGCAACACUUGUUUGUUUGAUCUGUAGGACUUGUGAGUGUUAACCAAAUUUUUUGCAUUUAGUUCUGAAUCUCAAGUAGAGAUAGACUGGGUUUUGCUGUAAUUCAUCAAUCAUCAUAGACAUUUUUGUUUGUUAAUCUGCUUUUAUAUUUUGUAUUGAAUCAUGUUUAUCCCGAACCGGUUUCCAUAGCUAAAGUCUUGAUAAAAGCGAAAAAGAAUGUGAUUCACAAGAAAACGAAAAGUUAGGUUUGAGAUUGUUUAAGCGCAAAAAGAAAUGUGACAGAUUGGUAUUCUGCUUAGUAGACAGUAAAAAACCAAGAUAACAAAACUGAUGUAUGCACAAACGUAAAUUACUGUUUAUAUUCAAAUGAAUGAUAGAAGCUUUGACCAUGCAAUGAACUGAUAUUAUAGACAGGAACGCUUUGGUCUAGAAUAUAAAGUCCAUUCUCUAAUAGACCGCUACCAUAAAAGAUAUCAUUACGAUCAAAGGAACAACACUUGGUUUUGAUCGAAAACUGAAAUCUUUCCAAAUCCAAAGAAGGAAUGGAAAUAAUAUUCCUACUUAUAGCAGGUACAUAAUAGCAAUUCGUAAGUUCUAAAACCAAGUCUGAAGGUAAAGAUAAAUGAAAUGUUCCCACGGCUAAUGCAGAAAUUCUUGCUCCAUUUCCCACUCGUAGGUCCACUUGACCUUUCUCCAAAAUUCUACUAUUGCUUAGGCCAUUCAUAUUCGUACAAAUAUGAGCACCACAACCGGUAUCCAAUACCCAUGAAGUAGAACCAGAAGUAGUAACAUUUACUUCUAUAACAUAAAUACCUCUAGGCGAUGUUUCAAAAGUCUUUUUCUUUUUCAGAUCUUCCAAGUAGGUUUUAAACUCUUGUUUGAGAACAAUUCUCGGGUUUUGAUACCAUUGGAGGAAAUUUGAUCCAUUCAAUUUGUCCUUUUUAAGGGCAUGUUGGAAUGAAAAUGGGUCGUGAGGAGUUAACAUGCUGGAAUAGAAGAAUAUCGAAUAUUAAUAUGAUGUUCAUGAAUUAGAGAAAUCUCAACAAUAAAGAAAACUCAUAUUAUAUUCAAACAAUUUCCUCAAAUGAAUAUAAUAAUCCAAGAUCCAUAUUUCACUAAAAUUCGAGUGAGCUUUGGCUCACCGCCAGAAUGUUUAGCUAUUUAGGUAAGCAACACUUUGCUAAUUAUAUCAAAUAUAAUUUGUGGUUGUCAGAUGACAUCUUAUGUCUUAUCCAACCUAUGUCUCUAAGCCCAAAACCGUUUUGAUAGCCUAGUCACGUAAACCAAUCUUAUAUUCAUAUGGUAACCGUUACCAUCUACCUCACUUAUGUUGCAGACACCUUGCUUUGGCAAGCCCAUCUUACAAUGAAACAAGCCUUGAUAGUUGAUAAGAUUGGGUAGACAUCAAAAGUACUUGAAAUUAAUCGAGGAACAAAUUUUAAUUCAAUUUUAACUUAUAUUUAAAAUUUAUAUCUAAUAUAAAUAUAAAUAUAGCUAAUACAUAUCUUACAUGUAUUUUAAUUGAAUUAGAUAAUUAAAUUAAUUUUAUCUAAUUAAAAUAAUUAAUUAUUUCUAUAUUUGAUUUUAGAAUUUAAGCUAAUUAAAAUCUGAUCAAACGACCAACCCAAUUGGACCAAAUCAAUUGUAUCAAACAACCUAAACCAAUCGUUGGUUCAAUUGGUAUAGACACAUCUCAUAUGUGUUUUAGGUUUUAGAAACACACAUUCAAGUAUUACAAUAAUACGAUUGCCUCUUGAAAUUAUAUGUAUGCAACAUGCAACUUCUAUACAACAUGAACAAGAUCAUCACAUGACAACGCGUAAAUCUAGAUAUUUUUAAUCAGUUAAUUAUAAUAAUUGGAUUGAUCACAUCAAACAAAACUAUUAUGAAUUAACAAAUAACCAUGCGUCUUUCAAUUAAGAGUAGCACUAACGCUUAAUGGUUAUUUUAACAACAUAUUUCUCUUACGCACGAAUCAGAUUAAUUACGCUUCUGCGAAAUUGAUAACUACGCCAAUUUAAUUAUCGUUGAAACUAUAAGAUUAUUUAUCUAUACCAAAUUAUAGACUAAAUAAGAUCUGAUUUCAAUAUUCAGCAAGUAGGCUCUGAUACCACUAUUGGAAUUCAUACCGGUUUAUAACAAUUUAUAAAUCAACUUAUGACUUUAGUUUGCCUAGAUCUCAUGAAAAUACUGAAAUAAAUCUAGAUCUCAGGGUUCCAAAUAUAUAUGGUUAUUCACAGCGGAAAGAUAAUAAACCAAAUCGAAAUUUCUAAUACUCCAAACGUCGUGCCUCUACCAGUAUCCACACGCACACAAAUUGGAUCGAUACAGAAUGCUAGUGCCUUUGAGAUCAAAUCUCAAAUACUUGACAAACUCUUUUGUCUCUCUUAAGGUUUUAUUUAGUCGGCCAUUUUCUUAUCUGUCGAUCAAGUCACUUACGUGACCCUUUAUAAUCAUAUGACCAGAAGUUAAUGGGCCAAGCCCAAGUGAUAAUUAUCACUUCUUAACUCACGUUGCCCAUCACAUGCAUAUAAGUAUAUCACGUGAAUAUUAUAUAUAUCAUACAUAUAAUAUAAAUGUAUAAAACCCCAAAUAUUCAUGAUCCAAUUUGCGGUAUAUGACCCUGUAGGAUCAUAUAAUAUUAGUAAUGAAUUCCUAAUUCAUAGAUUAUAAUCGGUUUCUAGCAAAACAUUAUAACCACCUAAUAUUAUAUGAUUGUCGAAUCUUAACUCUACGAGUUUAACAAGAGUAAGUGCAAAUGAUUUUAGAACAUUCCCAACUAUAUCCACGCACAACAGACGGCACUAUCUCAAACAUAUAUUACAUGAUUCAUAUAAUUGUCAAAACAAACAGUUUCCUGGUCAGCUCACCUGAUACUCGAGUAGUGGCUUUAGUGCUUUACACAUUUCGGUUUGCAAGAUUCCUCGAGGUACUUCUUUUUUUCUUGCAUAAGAUUUGAAAAUGUAAUCAUGAAUGAGUUGUAUGUAAAAUUUGACAAAGCUAUAAACUUGAAAGAAGAAGAACAACGAUAGGUUGGUUCAUUGUGACCUUAUGGGUUGAAAUAGAAAGACCGAAUAAAAUUUAAAAGUGCACCUAAAGUCGUUUUCCCCUGCCCGGCCUCAAAGUAAAAAAAAUCAAACAUGGCAAGCAUUGCUAGCCUGGAGUGCUAAUGUUUUUUUUGCGAAGAAGGUUGUAAGAACAACAUAGACCAUCCAAGAGCAAAAUCUCUCAAAGACUUUAGAACGCUUCAAAUGCAUUACAAACGAAAGCACGAAUUGUGGAAGUGCAACUAAAAUGUUGGAAGCUGCGUGUGCCAAAAAGAGCUACAUAGAUUUGGAAGCCGAGAAGGAGAAUUGACAAUUAAUGUGGAAAACCAAACGAAACCAUGAUCGUAGGGAGCCGAGGACUUGGAUAAAUAUUUGGAACGUAGAUAUGAUAACCUUAAGUCUUUACUGAAAACUUGAUUUGACAACCAAGUUUGUCAGUGUUAUUACAGAGUUUUAUCAUAAAAAACAACCAGAAAAGAGAAAAGAAGGAGAUGGCAUUGCAAGACAAGUUAAUAACACGAGACAGCAUUUGGGAGAGAGAGAGAGAGAUUUCUAGUCCGUAGUCAUGAUCGCCUUCUGAUUUCCCUCAGAUAGAAUUGCUUUAUCUGUCUCAGCCAUAGCCAACCUAGCUGCUUUAGCUCUCUCAGCCUUAGCCAACCUAGCUGCUUUAGACAAUCUCCGAUAGGAAUUCUUCCCAUUGGAGUUCUUAAUAUAUGUAUUAUGUAUAUAUAUACACUACAAGAAAACAGCGGCAUACUGAGGGAAAAAAUUGUCGGUAUGUCGUCGGAAUAACGCUAUUCCGACGACAUACCGACGAAAAAAGUCCUCGGAAAUAACUCCUCGGAAAUUCAUCUUUCCUCGGAAAUCCCUCGGAAAUUUCCGACGGAAUUCCGAGGACUUUUUUUCGUCGGAAAUUCCUCGGAAUAUUCCGAGGAAUAUGUCGUCGGAAUAUUCCGAGGGAUACACUUCCUCGGAAUAUUUCCAAAAUUCAAAAAAAAAAAUUAUAAAUUUAUUUUUUUAAUUUGAAAUUCAAAAAUAUAAAAUUAAAAUUGAAAUAAAAAACAUAUUUAAAAUACAAAAAAUAAUAAAAUAGUUUUUAUAAAUAAAAAAAUGUUUUAUAAAUACAAAAUUAGUUUUAAUAAAUAUAAAUAUUUUUAUAAAUAUGAAAUCAUCUUUUUAUAAAUACAAAAUAGUUUUUAUAAAUACAAAAAAAAAAAAAUAGUGUUUAAAAAUAAAAAAAAUGUUUUAUAAAUACAAAAUUAGUUUUAAUAAAUAUAAAUAUUUUUAUAAAUAUGAAAUCAUCUUUUAUAAAUCCAAAAAUCGAAUUUAUAUACAAAAACGUUUUGUAAAAUCGAAUUUAUAUAAACGUUUUGUAAAUACAAAAAUAAUAAACAAUUUAUAAAAAAAGUUCUAAAUCAAUUCAACACAACCAAAUCACAAUUCUAAACCUAUUACACAACAAAUCACAAUCCUACCCAAUCACCCUAACAAAAAUCUAUCAAAAAACUUCUAAAAUCAUCAAAUCUACUUAAAAACCUAACAAAUAGGACCUAAGAGAGUGGGAUAAGGUCCUUACAUGAUUUGUAAAGGAAUGGAAAGGAUUCGCCGGAGAGAUCGUCGCGAGAGAAGGUGGAGAACGCCGGAAGGAGAGAGAGAUCGCCGGAGAGGAAGAAGAGAGAAAUGGGGAAGAAGAUGCGGUUCGAGUUUAUAAAACCUUGGGUCUGACGGAUAUUUUCCGUCGGAAUUCCCUCAGUAUUUUCAAUUUCAAUUUUCGCGAAAUAUUUGGCGGCUUGUUUGCCCGGUUAAAUGAAAAUAUUCCGAAGAAAUUCCGACGGCCACUUAAAUAUCCGUCGGAAUUUCCUCGGAAUAUUUUCAUUAAUUCGAGGAAAAAGAAUAUCCUGUGCAUGUAUUUCUAUUAAUUUAUAUUGUUCCUCGGAAUUUCCUCGGAAUAUUCCGAGGAAAUACCGAGGAACUAGUGUUUGGGGUUUCAAAACAUCAAUUUUUUUUGCCGUAUUUCAUUUCUUAUACAAUUGUAAUGCAUACCAUUGAAGAUUCUUUGUAUAGAUGAGCAUAAACCAUGAAAUAACAAAUUUCAAAACGAAUUGUAAGUAUUCCCUUUACCGUUCAUUAAAGUGUAUAAGUGUUUCUCUUAUGUUGUGGGGAUUUCGUUCAUACAAUCGGAAAAGUGUUUAUUAUAGGGUAAUGAACAAAUUUUUGACUUCAUAAUGAACGUAAGACACUUAAUAAGAGUUAUAUAGGUGUUAUUCAAACCGCAAAACGUUGUUUUCGGUUUAAAAACCCUAUUUCCUCGGAAUUUCCUCAGAAUAUUCUGAGGGAAUUCCGAGGAAACCCUUUUCUUCCUCAGAAUUCCGUCGAAAUAUUCCGAGAAAAUUCCGAGGAACUAGUGUUUGGGGUUUCAAAACGUCAAUUUUUUUUAAACGAAUCGAUCGAUGGAUAUAUAUCCAAAAACGCAUCGAUCGAUCACUAAGAUGGACCAAAGCGUAACAAUGUGAUCGAUCAAUAAGAUUAUCCCAUUGAUCGAUGGAGGAUAUCAAGUGUUCCUCGGAAUUUCCUCGGAAUAUUCCGAGGAAAUUCUGAGGAACUAGUGUUUGGGGUUUCAAAAUCUCGAAUGUUUUUUUAUAAACGGAUCGAUCGAUGUAUUUAUGUCCAAAAACGCAUCGAUCGAUCACUAAGAAGGACCAAAGCGUAUCAAUGUGAUCGAUCGAUUAGAUUAUAUUCUUCUUCAAAGAGCACAUAAUAGUUCACCAGACUUUUUAGACCAUCUCCAAUGGGGGUUCUUCCCAUUGGAGUUCUUAAUAUAUGUAUUAUGUAUAUAUUAUAUAUGUGUAAAUAAUUGUGGGGUCCACAAUUAUUGUGGAAAUCCAUAAAUAAGGGUUCUUAGGGAUUCUUAAAACCAUGUUUUAAGAACCCUUGCCUAUGGGGUUCCACAAAAAUUGUGGACCCCACAAUUACUUAUACAUAUAUAAUAUAUACAUACAUAUAUAUAUAUAUACAUAACACAUAUAUUAAGAACUCCAAGGGGAAGAAUCCCGUUAGAAAAUAUAUAUUGAAUAACACCAAAGUUUAAUUUAUAAAUUUUAAAUACAGUGAAAAAAAUAAGAACAAUUUUUACAAGUAUAUCCUUGAUAUAUUCACAAGCUAUAUCACUGGUUUUUACAAGUAUAACAAAUAAAUGGUGUUAAUAUAUAAGUACAUAUAUUGAAAACAUCUGAUAACACGGGAGACUUAGUUUGUGAUCUCUAUUUCCAGUCAAACUUCUUGUGAAGUUUAAAUUCCGUAUAUAUUAUAUAUGUGUAAAUAAUUGUGGGGUCCAUAAUUAUUGUGGAAAUUCAUAAAUAAGGGUUCUUAGGGAUUCUUAAAACCCUCUUUUAAGAGCACCAUUUUUGCAGGUUCCAAAGGGAGUUUUUAAAGAUUUUGGGUCCCACAAACAAAACGUUGUCGUGGAAACUGAAUGUGUAAUCGCUUGCACCAGGUUUCAGAUAGUGGACACCCAUAUCGUCGUUCCCUGAUUUACAAUGUACCUUGAGCCAUUUCUUGUAACUAAGGCCGUUCCUGAAAUAUAGAGUUGUCUUAUCCCCUUUCAAUAAAUUGGCACCAUAUGCAUUGUCGAUCAUGCAAAGUGUAAAAACAAAUAGAAAGAUUGAA